RNAcentral lists this ribosomal RNA (255 nucleotides) under uncultured bacterium. RNAcentral describes it as "partial 16S ribosomal RNA". It matches the Rfam family "Bacterial small subunit ribosomal RNA", at positions 524 to 776 of the family's 1533-position model. The record is from RNAcentral.
UACGUAGGCAGCGAGCGUUUGUUCGGAGUUACUGGGCGUAAAGGGUGUGUAGGCGGUUUUCUAAGUUUGGUGUGAAAUCUCCCGGCUUAACCGGGAGGGUGCGCCGAAAACUGGGAGACUAGAGUGCGGGAUGGGAGAGUAGAAUUCCUGGUGUAGCGGUGAAAUGCGUAGAUAUCAGGAGGAAUACCGGUGGUGCAGACGGCUCUCUGGACCGCAACUGACGCUGAGACACGAAAAGCGUGGGUAGCAAACAGG